This 80-nucleotide small nucleolar RNA is filed under the name Neogobius melanostomus (round goby). RNAcentral describes it as "Small nucleolar RNA SNORD79 (ENSNMLG00000010073.1)". It matches the Rfam family "Small nucleolar RNA SNORD79". From Rfam's summary of the family: snoRNA U79 or Z22 is found in intron 7 of the gas5 gene in humans and is also present in mice. U79 is a member of the C/D class of snoRNA which contain C (UGAUGA) and D (CUGA) box motifs. The record is from Rfam by way of RNAcentral. Lineage: Eukaryota; Metazoa; Chordata; Actinopteri; Gobiiformes; Gobiidae.
UGCUGACAAUGAUGAAUUGUUUUAUCAAUGGGAAUCUCUCUGAAAAUAAGUGAUAGAGGAUUUUUAUUCUGACCACAGCA